RNAcentral lists this ribosomal RNA (705 nucleotides) under uncultured bacterium. Its description in RNAcentral is "bacterial SSU rRNA". It matches the Rfam family "Bacterial small subunit ribosomal RNA", at positions 91 to 781 of the family's 1533-position model. The record is from RNAcentral.
ACGAGUGGCGGACGGGUGAGUAACACGUAGGUAACCUGCCCAGAAGCGGGGGACAACAUUUGGAAACAGAUGCUAAUACCGCAUAACAGCGUUGUUCGCAUGAACAACGCUUAAAAGAUGGCUUCUCGCUAUCACUUCUGGAUGGACCUGCGGUGCAUUAGCUUGUUGGUGGGGUAACGGCCUACCAAGGCGAUGAUGCAUAGCCGAGUUGAGAGACUGAUCGGCCACAAUGGGACUGAGACACGGCCCAUACUCCUACGGGAGGCAGCAGUAGGGAAUCUUCCACAAUGGGCGCAAGCCUGAUGGAGCAACACCGCGUGAGUGAAGAAGGGUUUCGGCUCGUAAAGCUCUGUUGUUAAAGAAGAACACGUAUGAGAGUAACUGUUCAUACGUUGACGGUAUUUAACCAGAAAGUCACGGCUAACUACGUGCCAGCAGCCGCGGUAAUACGUAGGUGGCAAGCGUUAUCCGGAUUUAUUGGGCGUAAAGAGAGUGCAGGCGGUUUUCUAAGUCUGAUGUGAAAGCCUUCGGCUUAACCGGAGAAGUGCAUCGGAAACUGGAUAACUUGAGUGCAGAAGAGGGUAGUGGAACUCCAUGUGUAGCGGUGGAAUGCGUAGAUAUAUGGAAGAACACCAGUGGCGAAGGCGGCUACCUGGUCUGCAACUGACGCUGAGACUCGAAAGCAUGGGUAGCGAACAGGAUUAG